Molecule: non-coding RNA, 98 nt
Filed under: Clostridium sp.
Lineage: Bacteria; Bacillati; Bacillota; Clostridia; Eubacteriales; Clostridiaceae
Description: TPP sequence
Rfam family: TPP riboswitch aptamer (THI element)
About the family: Vitamin B(1) in its active form thiamin pyrophosphate (TPP) is an essential coenzyme that is synthesised by coupling of pyrimidine and thiazole moieties in bacteria. The previously detected thiamin-regulatory element, thi box was extended, resulting in a new, highly conserved RNA secondary structure, the THI element, which is widely distributed in eubacteria and also occurs in some archaea.
Source: RNAcentral
AAUUAUUUACGGGGGUAUCGGAUAAGCGUCCGAUUGAGAAUUAAACCCUUUGAACCUGUCGGUUGAUACCGUGGUAGGGAAGUAAAUUUGUAGAAAUU